This 71-nucleotide transfer RNA is filed under the name Ovis aries (sheep). It matches the Rfam family "tRNA". From Rfam's summary of the family: Transfer RNA (tRNA) molecules are approximately 80 nucleotides in length. Their secondary structure includes four short double-helical elements and three loops (D, anti-codon, and T loops). The record is from Rfam by way of RNAcentral. Lineage: Eukaryota; Metazoa; Chordata; Mammalia; Artiodactyla; Bovidae.
UCCUGGUGGCUUAACUGGUAAAGAACCUGCCUGCAAUGCAAGAGAUCCAGGUUUGAUCCCUGGGUCAGGAA